CCCUAUUCGCCUCCGGCCUCGCCGUCUUGCUUCUACUAGUCCAAGGAUCGCCGCCAGGGCCCGUUGUCCAGUGCCGGUCCGGCAACACUAACUGCACCGUGACCAACGGCUAUGGAGCCUUUCCUGAUCGCAGCACCUGCUGCGUCGCCGCGGUCGCGUACCCUUCCACCGAACUGGAGCUCCUGUUAGCUGUCUCCGACGCCACCGAGAAGCAGCAGCACAUGAAGGCUGUCACGAUGUACUCCCACAGCAUCCCCAAGCUGUCGUGCCCCGGAGGGCCGAGCGGCCAGGGCCUGGUCAUUAGCACCCAGCGCCUCAACCGAUCGGUGAGCGUGGACAUGGCCACCUCGCGGAUGACGUUCGAAGCAGGGAUCACACUUAGGGAGCUCCUUGACGCGGCGGCCGCCCGUGGCCUGGCGCUACCCCACUCGCCGUACUGGCAAGGGAUGACGCUCGGCGGCCUGCUGAGCACCGGCUCCCAUGGGAGCUCGGUGUUCGGGAAGGGCUCGGCGGUGCACGAAUAUGUGGUAGGGAUGAGGCUGGUGGUUCCAAGUCCGGCCCCGGUGAACGGAUACUACGCCAAGAUCGUUAAUCUUGGUGAGGAUGAUCCUGAUCUCUUGGCUGCCAAGGUUUCUCUCGGUGUUCUUGGAGUCAUUUCUCAGGUAUGUGUGUGGUGACCUACGUGUUAUUCUUUGUUCUUUACACGGAUUGAGAUCCAUGUGAUAACUCAUCUUAGUUCUUCAUGGUGGUUCUUCCAACCACGUCAAGUACUUUCAUAAGCUGAGUGUACAAGAUUUGCCACGUUUCGAUGCUAAUUAGGUGCAACUAUAUCUUUAAUUCUUCAUGAUAUAAUAGAGAUCAUCCUACUGUUAUUAGCAACGCUGAAUACAUCCUAUCGUCAGUAAAAUGUCGAGACAGAAAAAAAAAACUUGAUUUCUAUCAAAUCACUUUACAAAGGAAGACUUGUUCUUUUCCUUGAAUCUAGAAAGUUACGUAAAUAAUAGGCUUUUGAUGAUCGCAGUGGACUUUACUUUUAAUCUUUCCUUCUUUUCUUGCUUUGCUUGUCUUCCUUGUUUCAAAAUGGGCUGAUGCAAACCUUUGAACCGUUCUAAUGAUUCCAUGUACCUUCCCUCGUCGUUUAUCGUAACUACACAACAUACUUGAGUGUUAUGGAACAUAUGAGCACAUGCAAACCCACAGAGACAAAGAUCAGAGAAAAAGCAACCAUUGCAAUAACAGCUACAGUGACGUUGAUGAUGACUCGGUGUAAAUGAGAGUGCCCCUUCCUUCACAUAUGGAGCCUCGAGCAGGGCAAGAGGCAGGCAGGUCCAUGCUGCCUUGCCUUGCAGAGCUUACGACCGGGCCCACUAAUUGCCUUAAAAGCCUCAGUAACAAUUAUUAGGUUGAAGGACGAUAGGGGAUGUCAGUAGUUGUAGUUCUUGUUUCAAUCUUUUUGCCUGAAUAGCUGAAAAGAGUUGACUAGCGAUACAUGUAAGCUUUUGUUCUUCUGCUUCAUUAUAAGUAACCUAAGAAUUACUUGAACCGAUCGAGCAGGUCACCCUCCAACUUGAGCCAAUGUUCAAGCGAUCCAUCACCAACAGGGUCGUAAGCGACGUUGGCUUCGAGCAAACCAUCUCCUCGUACGCUGUCACUACAUACUAUGGAGACAUCAGCUGGUAUCCGUCACAACGCAGAGUGGUGUACCGAGAUGAUAUCAAGGUCCCCAUCACCACCGAAGGAAAGGGUGUAAACGACUACUUAGGGUUCCGAGCGCAGCCCACCCACGUCGGAGCCUCUCUACGUGCUUCAGGUCUUAUAAAUUGCAGCUUUUAUUUUGCUUGUCAAACUUAAUGUAGUGUUCGAGCAGUAUUAUGCACACAUUUACAUCGACAUUUCGUCCGAGAUUUGUACUAAGAAGGCUUCUUUUGUCCUCUACCAUGUGUUUGUGUCUGUGAAUGCAGAGGAACGAGUGGAGGCAACGGGAAAUGCGGAAGGCAAAUGUGUGCUGUUCAGAUUGCAAGUUGAUACUUUGAUUGCGACCGGCAUGGGCCUUAAGAACAAUGACGGCGGCUUGUUAGAAUUCACCGGCUAUCCGGUCGUUGGAAACCAAAGCGACAUGCAAUCCUCCGGUAGGUCCUCCAAUUAUCCGAAGAAUGUAUAUGAUGACACAUGUUACACCUGUAUUAUAUAUUAUAUGGUCUGAGCCAAAUUCACUCCUGUAUUCUGUAUUAGUCUGAACCAUCUUCUCUCCAGGUUCGUGCCUAAGAAGUGCAGAAGACAACCUUCUCACGGCCUGUGGAUGGGACCCUCGCUUUGCUGGGUCCUUCUACCACGAAACCGCGAUAAGUAUCCCCUUCACCACCGUUGCAGACUUCAUCGCCGACGUCAAGAAGCUCCGCGACGCCCACCCCAACUCGCUCUGCGGCACCGAGCUGUCCUUGGGCUUCUUCAUUCGCUUCCUCCGCAACUCCACGGCCUAUCUUGGCAAAACGGACGACGUGGUGGAGAUCGACAUCACAUACUACCGUUCCAGGGAUCCAAAACGGCCGCGACUCUAUGAGGAUGUGCUCGAGGAGAUCGAACAGAUGGCCUUGUUCAAGUACAAUGGGCUGCCGCACUGGGGGAAGAACAGAAAUGUCGGCUUCCUCAAUGUCAAGAACAAGCUGGGGGCUAAGUUGGCCAAGUUUGUGAGUGUGAUGCAGAAGUAUGACAGCAAUGGAUUGUUCUCUUCAGACUGGACCGAUGCGGUGCUGGGACUGCGAGGGAAGGAAGUUGUGGUGCAGGGAGAUGGAUGUGCACUGGAGGGGCUGUGCAUUUGCUCCACUGACGACCACUGCGCUCCUAAACUAGGCUAUUUUUGUCGACCUGGAGAAGUCUAUGAACAGGCUCGAGUUUGCCGGAAGAUAAAAUCCGUGGAAGCUGAUGGUUUGGCAUGGAGCGCAUGAUACCAUUCACAUUCAUUUGCUGUGCGGUUUAUUUCUGUGUCACUUCCUCUUCGAAUAAAGGUUGUAAUGUCAGUCAAUAAUUACUACAUAGUUUAAUGAUGAUUAAUGAUAAUAACCUGCGACACACGUAAAUGUUCUGAUUAAUUUUACAUAAAUUACACUUGACCCACGUUUCGUGACACAAAUGACAUGGUAGUUCACACCGAAACUACUGCUCUCUAUAAAUUACUCAACGGCGCAGCAUCCAAUCUUCUGUUUGUUCCUUUCUCAUCCUCGCAGUAUAAUUUGGAGAUAGGAAGUGGUCGCACCAUGAGCGAGGGAAACAGCAGCGAGAGCAAGCUGACCCCGUACAUCAGGCCCCCGACCGGGCCGCUGUGGCAUGCCCGGGACUUGUACGAGAGCAGCAAGGCGCAGAGUGGCACCGUCAUCGCGCUGUCUCGCGCCUAUGGCUUUGGGCAGUGCUCGCGGACGAGCAGCAGCGAGGAAGAGAUCAACGACCUCAUCGGCGCCGCUUGCAAGAGCAUGAUGCGGGCCAUCCUGGUGAAGGAGGAUGGGCUGGUGCCAAGGAGCCACCGAGUGGCGACGUUGAGGAUAGACGAUGACAAGCCGUGUGACUUCGAGGACGACCAAGAGGAACGAUGCCAAGGAGCUGUAGCUACGAUGUUGCCACCAAGAGGAACGUGGGCUUCUAAUAAGCUUCAAGUUAGAUUGUGCGGUGAUCAACACGAACAGUAAACAUCCGAGCUUAUAUAUUGUACUGCUUUCGAGGGAGGAAAUAAGCAUUUCGUUGAGCCGUUGUCAUUCUUUUGGAACCAAAACUUAUUAGGAGAGAAAUCGAAUAGUGAAUACAGAAGAAGAUAUUCUUCACUUCUUUUGUGAAGCUUUGUUGUAUUUUACCUACUCACCAUGUAUUUUACACAAAAUAACUAGUUUUAGAUCGGGCAUGACAUCCUGAAGGAAUGAUUGUUUAAUAGACUACAAUGUUUAUUUAUGCGAGGAUUUGGCAUGCUUUUCUCAUCUUAAAAAAAGGAAAUGUUAAAUUUCUAAAAAAAGACCUCCUAACUUUAAAUUAUCAAAUAACGCUCUGAGAAAUUUUUUUAGAGUAUUUUUUUCUUAAACAAUCAUUCUAUCCAUUGUCAACUCUAUCCAUGCAUUGUUAUUAUUGUAUUUACAUGUGGCCCUCGCAUAAGGAAGGAAGGGGUGCAAGAGUUGUCACCUCCUUCCUGCACCACCUCUCCUCCUCUUGUCAUGCUGGAUUUGUUACUUAUAGGCCUCACUCGAGGAAAGAGAGGGUACGAGAGCCAUUGCCACUUAUGCGGACCCCACCAACUCUAUCCUAGCGCCUCGAUCACAACUUUCAUAUGAGAAAGGAGGGGACGUGAGGGCCGUCAUCGUUUCUGUGGACCUUACUAGCCCUAGGACCUUGCUAGACUCUAUUGGACUUGUUGCCCGUAGCCCUUACACAAGGAAAGAAGGGUUGUGAGGGUCGACGCCACCACCAUCUUCACAGACCACUACGACCCUGCUUAUAUGCACUUCACUCGUAACCCUUGUGCAAGGAAGAAGGUGGCACAUGUGCUAUCGUUGCCUUUGUGGAACCUAUUAGUCUCCGUCAAACCUGUUGUCACUCUGCACCACCCCCCCUUUCCUCGCACGAGGGCCAUAGUGUGCAAGGGUUGUGAGUGACAGAUUAUAUGAAGUAGAGGAGAGGAUAGGUAGUGCAUGGAGUAAGGGCACAAGUGAUUAUAGAGGGAGGAGGAGAUAACUAUAGGUCUAAUAGAAAUAGAGAUAAAAUAAUAUUUUUAUAUAAUCAAGAUACUCUAUGAAUUUCUUAAAGUUAAAAGGCUCUGUAAAAAAUUCAUAAUGUUAAAUCUAAAAAAAAAAUAAGGAUUUGACGUGCGUCCGACAAGCCUCCUUCCUGGAGAGGAUCAACACACAGCUAGUUAGUAGGGGAUUCAGUAACUUUCCUUUUUUUUUCCCUUUAAAAAUAUGAAGUUUCAUAACUUAUCAAAAAGAGGUCCAAAUUGUACAUUUAUACCAAUAAAUUUGAAUACUACAAGUUUUUCUCUUGCAACUAAUACACACACAUAUACUACAGUUUUGCCCCAUACAAAUCGAAUAACAAUGAGUAUAGUUUUGACCCUUCCAUGUAUAGAAAUUAAAUAAAAAUUAGUUUGAUUCAAUUCAAAGAGUUAAGUUUCUAUAUUGUGGACCAAAUUAAGUAUAUAUAAUCAGACUCUUUUAAUUCUUAAUUAUACUAGAUUAUCCUCUUAGUUUAUUUUAUUUCAAUUUAGACAUGAAUAUUUUCAUUACAAUGUGAAUAAUAAAAAUAUCUUAAAAGUGAAGUCAUAUUUGGUUCUUUAUUAGACCUUACUUUUCAACUUUUGUAACGAUCCAACCAAUGACCUCAUUAUUGGCCAUGAAUGAAAUCUUGAAUUCUAAUUUUUAAGUAAAAUGUAACUUAUGAUAUUUUAGAUUAAUACAAGUUAACAAUUAUUAACUAUCAUUAGUUAUGAUUGAUUAAAAAUUGAAAUGUAGUAAUAGAAUAUGAUAUUACAAAAUGUUCACAUCAUAUUUCUUUCUUAAAAAAUAAUCUUGUUUAUACCAAACUCGAAUUCAAAAUCUCAUCUGAUAUAUUUUGAAGAUAUCAUCUAAUUUAGUUGGUGUUAGUGUAGAUUUUGAUUAUAUGAGCUAGGAUAAUUCUUCAAAUUGAAUCAAAGUCUAUUCCAAACCAAUCUCACUUCACAUCACUAUUAAUAAAGCACCAAACUUGUAAAACUAGGUCAAGAGGUAUUCUUGACAAAUAUUCCUUCAAUAAUCAAUUGAAUUCUUAGGUUUGGACUGGCUGAUGAAUAUUGAAGUGAAAUCAUAUCUUAAGAGUACAUGAGAGUCCUUUUUAUGGGUGAUACUAAGGAUGAUUAUUCCUAGAAUCACCGAUCACUUAGGCUAGUCGAUCACGAGUUCAAAUUAUCUAUCAUUUGGCCACAUAUCACCCCUUUAUGAGUAUAUAUCUUACUACCUGACCAUCAUCUGUCAAACGCGUGUGAUCCCCAUGCUCUUUGAUAAUCGACCCAUUGGCUUCUUGGCCACGUGUCGCAUUGUGGCAAUGUUGUAUUUGACAUGUCACUUGUCACCUAUCACUAGCCCCCCAUUUCUAAGUUGAUAGAUUAUAGGGCUAUAGAGCUAAGAAGUGCUCUGGCCUAUGAUUUUUACACUGAUAGCGAGUUUGUUCAUCAUCGUUUUGACAUAUGUCAUUGGAAUGCAUGUUGUGUCCAUUAAAGCUAUUCUAUCCAUUCAGUGUGUUUGACGCAUUCAGUCCAUUUGACCCAUUCCGUUGGUUAGGGUCGUUCAGCUCGUUCAAUCAAUUUGACAUGUUAGGCUUUUUAGGAUUUAACCUAGAUGGUACCACGAAGUUUUCUUAAGAUAUCUUAGUUGCCCUCUCUCUAACGCUAAUAUAUUAGUAUAAAUUUUAAUUGUCUGAAUUGAGAUGAUAACUUAGAUCCAACUGAGAUUCAUUGCAAGUUAGUCUUACUCUAGGAAACCUACAAAUGCCCCAUCGUAGAUCAAGUCAGACUUGUUGGCCAAUAAUAAAGUCAAGUUGGAUCCUCGAAGUGUACCUAGAGUCCCUUUUAUUAGUAACUCUGAGAAUGAUUAUGUCCGGAAUCAUUGAUGGUAAGAGAGGAAUAUGUGCCACAUUCAGACUGAGACUUGGCAUGAUAUUCAUCGAACCUUGUGUUCACAUAGGUUGGUUGUGCUAAUCAUGGGUUUGGACGAUCGACUAUUCAUCCACGUAUUAUCUCAUGCUGAGUGUGCAUCUCAUGAUUCCAUCAUCACCUAUCUAUCACAUAUGAUCCUCAUGCUCUUUGGUUGUCAACCUUGUGGCCAUGUGUCACUACACGGUGAUGUUAUAUUCGAUAUAUUACUCUUUAUGCUGAAAAAAAAUUUGAUAGUUGAUCACUAGACUCAAAAUUCUACAUUCGUUAGUGGUGCGUUGGCCAUGUCUCGCCGCAUGAUAGUGUUAUAUUCAAUGUCACACCCUUCACCUGUCAGAUAAAGACUUUAAUAGUUCCUCCCAAAAUUUUAGACUUAAAUUCCACAUUAAUCACUUAUUCUCAAAAAAAAAAUCUGGUUAAGAUCGCAACCACUGCUUCGGUUACAAUUAUCCCUUCUAUUUUUAUAACAGAACAAAUAGGGUAAACAGUGUGCGAGUCGAUCAGUCGGUGGACUGCCUUCAUUCCACCGACUUACACCAUCAUGAGAUCCUCUUAAUUUUCAAAUUAUAAUAAUUAUAAUUUAAAAAAUAUGAAUAACAUUAAAUAAAAAUAAACAAAAAAAUCAGCCAUAACGCGUAAAGGUCAAAGUCAAAGUACCCAUGACCCAUGGACUGGGACACGUGGAGGCAAGAAAGCAUCACAACAGACUCGAGAACGAGCCCACUCGAUUGGACCAUUCAGGGCGGGAUUAAUUGAAAGAAACAACGAGCGAGACAGUCAGCAGGUCCACUAAACUGGAAGCAUUCUUCAUGCUUUGAAAUCAAAACAUGAGUCUAACAUGAUCAACCAAAUUGGACUCAACACUUGUGAUCGAGAAGAAUAGGGUGCCGCCAUGUUCGUACAAGUAAAUGGUUGAUGUGAUCCGGGAGAGAGCAAGGCAUAUAAAUGCUUCAUAACAAGGGAACGUCUCUUACAAGUUCUCCAUUGACAGGUUCUCUUCCUGCUUAGAAUUGGUCCAAUGUUUUCCGGCUUCCACAUACCUCAGGAAAUUGAGUAAAGAACUCUAUUUAAGCGACUUCAAGUCGGCACGACUCUCUUCGCAUCCAAUGUUAAUGUAGCGCUAUGAGCAAGGGAAGCAGAAGAGGGAACAAGCUGAUGCGGUACAUCAAGGCCCCUUAUCGAGCACUGCUUCGUGCCCGGGACUUGUACGUGAACAGCAUGGCCGGAUGCGCCGGCAGGGCCCAGCGCGGGCCGACGAUCAUCGCGAUGCCACGCGCCCAGAGCCGCAGCUUCCACCGCCCGCAAAUGAGCAGCGGCGAGGACGACAUCAACGAGCUCAUCCGCGCUGCGUCGAGGAGCAGGCUGCGGUCCGUCGAGGGAGCGGCGGUUCCGAGGAGUCACAGCGUGGCGGGGAUGACGAUUGACGAGGACAAGCCAUGCAACUUUGAGGGCGACGUCAAGGUGGCCUUGGGCCCGAGGAGCCGGAGCUGCGACGUCGUCUCCAAGAGGAGGGCGGGGUUUACAACAAACGCCGUAAGCAGCAUCCGAAGCUUCUAAUACCAAGAGUGGAAGCACCAAAUGCAGCAAUUCCAUGUCGUUGUGGUUUCUAUUACUCGUGUUCGUGAACUCGAUUCGAUACUUUCUCUCCUCUUCUUCUCCUGUCAUGUUUCUGUUCACUCGUGAAUGUUUGGGCUGCCUGCUUACCUCAUUCCAUCUACACGAACGGAAUGUUCAUAUGGCAUCUCGGUAUCAUUUCCCUCAAAAUUUGAGCCUACAUUUGAAGCAUUUUCAUUAUAUAUAUAUAUAUAUAUAUAUAUAUAUAUAUAUAUAUAUAUAUAUAUAUAUAUAUANNNNNNNNNNNNNNNNNNNNNNNNNNNNNNNNNNNNNNNNNNNNNNNNNNNNNNNNNNNNNNNNNNNNNNNNNNNNNNNNNNNNNNNNNNNNNNNNNNNNNNNNNNNNNNNNNNNNNNNNNNNNNNNNNNNNNNNNNNNNNNNNNNNNNNNNNNNNNNNNNNNNNNNNNNNNNNNNNNNNNNNNNNNNNNNNNNNNNNNNNNNNNNNNNNNNNNNNNNNNNNNNNNNNNNNNNNNNNNNNNNNNNNNNNNNNNNNNNNNNNNNNNNNNNNNNNNNNNNNNNNNNNNNNNNNNNNNNNNNNNNNNNNNNNNNNNNNNNNNNNNNNNNNNNNNNNNNNNNNNNNNNNNNNNNNNNNNNNNNNNNNNNNNNNNNNNNNNNNNNNNNNNNNNNNNNNNNNNNNNNNNNNNNNNNNNNNNNNNNNNNNNNNNNNNNNNNNNNNNNNNNNNNNNNNNNNNNNNNNNNNNNNNNNNNNNNNNNNNNNNNNNNNNNNNNNNNNNNNNNNNNNNNNNNNNNNNNNNNNNNNNNNNNNNNNNNNNNNNNNNNNNNNNNNNNNNNNNNNNNNNNNNNNNNNNNNNNNNNNNNUUUCCUUACAAUAAUAAUAAUGAUAAGAACCUUGCGUCCCAAGUAGGCUCACGUGAUUGACAUAAAUGACUCAAAUUGGGAACGGAUGAAAACUCCUCCUAUUGCAUGUUCAUGAAUCAGAUAUGGAUGAUAUGGCACCACUUUUCCAUUGCCGUCCCACGCACAUCAUCCACGGUUUCCACAGAGACUGGUAGAAGUAAAAUUGCCAACUCAUCUACCUCCCUCUAUCAAUAUAUAUUAUCUAAUCACGUUCUUGCAUCACGUGUUCUGCGACCAUCAACCGGAGACUUUGACAAUUAUGAACCAUUCCAACACGUCUAAAUACACGUAAGAUUCAUCGGGAUGGCAUAAUCUCUUGUUAAGUCAACGGGCUUUACCUCCCUUCUUUUAUAUGAAUUUUUUUCUGACUACUAAUUAUUAUGUAAAUAGUGAUCAAGAUAUCGAAUGCACCUAUAUAUACAUUACAUACCCAUACCCAGACCAACUCUGAACAGCCAUCAUGGCCGCCACCCACAUUGCCCUGUUCGCAUCCGGCCUCGCCGUCUUGCUUCUCCUAGUCCAAGGAUCGCCGCCAGGGCCCGUUGUCCGGUGCCGGUCCGGCAACACUAACUGCACCGUGACCAACGGCUAUGGAGCCUUUCCUGAUCGCAGCACCUGCCGCGUCGCCGCGGUCGCGUACCCUUCGACCGAACAGGAGCUCCUGUUAGCUGUCUCCGACGCCACCGAGAAGCAGCAGCACAUGAAGGCUGUCACGAUGUACUCCCACAGCAUCCCCAAGCUGUCGUGCCCCGGCGGGCCGAGCGGCCAGGGCCUGGUCAUUAGCACCCAGCUCCUCAACAGAUCGGUGAGCGUGGACAUGGCCACCUCGCGGAUGACGUUCGAGGCAGGGAUCACACUUAGGGCGCUCCUUGACGCGGCGGCCGCCCGUGGCCUGGCGCUACCCCACUCGCCGUACUGGCAAGGGAUCACGCUCGGCGGGCUGCUGAGCACCGGUUCGCAUGGGAGCUCGGUGUUCGGGAAGGGCUCGGCGGUGCACGAAUAUGUGGUAGGGAUGAGGCUGGUGGUUCCAAGUCCGGUACCGGUGAACGGGUACUACGCCAAGAUCGUUAAUCUUGGUGAGGAUAAUCCUGAUCUCUUGGCUGCCAAGGUUUCUCUCGGUGUUCUUGGAGUCAUUUCUCAGGUAUGUGUGUGGUGACCUACGUGUUGUUCUUUGUUCUUUACACGGUUUGAGAUCCAUGUGAUAACUCAUCUUAGUUCUUCAUGGUGGUUCUUCCAACCACGUCAAGUGCUUUCAUAAGCUGAGUACAUGACUCGCCACGUCUCGAUGCUAAUUAGGUGCAACUAUAUCUUUAAUUCUUCAUGAUAUAAUAGAGAUCAUCCUACUGUUAUUAGCAACGCUGAAUACAUCCUAUCGUCAGCAAAAUGUCGAGACAGAAAAAAAGAACUUGUUUUCUAUCAAAUCACUUUACAAAGGAAGACUUGUUCUUUUCCUCGAAUCUAGAAAGUUACGUAAAUAAUAGGCUGUUGAUGAUCCCAGUGGACUUUACUUUUAAUCUUUCCUUCUUUUCUUGCUUUGCUUGUCUUCCUUGUUUCAAAAAGGGCUGAUGCAAACCGUUGAACCGUUCUAAUGAUUCCAUGUACCUUCCCUCGUCGUUUAUCGUAACUACACAACAUAAUUGAGUGUUAUGGAACAUAUGAGCACAUGCAAACCCACAUAGACAAAGAUCAGAGAAAAAGCAAACUUUGCAAUAACAGCUACAGUGACGUUGAUGAUGACUCGGGGUAAAUGAGAGUGCCCCUUCCUUCACAUAUGGAGCCUCGCGCAAGGCAAGAGGCAGGCAGGUCCAUGCUGCCUUGCCUUGCAGAGCUUACGACCGGGCCCGCUAAUUGCCUUAAAAGCCUCAGUAACAAUUAUUAGGUUGAAGGACGAUAGGGGAUGUCAGUAGUAGUAGUUCUUGUUUCAGUCUUAUUGCCUGAAUAGCUGAAAAGAGUUGACUUGCAAUACAUGUAAGCUUUUGUUCUUCUGCUUCAUUAUAAGUAACCUAAGAAUUACUUGAACCGAUCGCGCAGGUCACCCUCCAACUUGAGCCAAUGUUCAAGCGAUCCAUCACCAACAGGGUCGUAAGCGACGUUGGCUUCGAGCAAACCAUCUCCUCGUACGCUGCCGCUACAUACUAUGGGGACAUCAGCUGGUAUCCGUCACAACGCAGAGUGGUGUACCGAGAUGAUAUCAAGGUCCCCAUCACCACCAAAGGAAAGGGUGUCAACGACUACUUAGGGUUCCGAGCUCAGCCCACCCUUGUCGUAGCCUCUCUACGUGCUUCAGGUCUUAUAAAUUGCAGUUUUUAUUUUGCUUGUCAAUCUUGAUGUAGUGUUCGAGAAGUAUUGUGAACACAUUUACAUCGACAUUUCGUCCGAGAUUUAUACUAAGAAGGCAUCUUUUGUCCUCUACCAUGUGUUUGUGUCAAUGACUGCAGAGGAACUAUUGGAAGCAACGGGAAAUGCGGAAGGCAAAUGUGUGCUGUUCAGAUUGCAAGUAGAUACUUUGAUUGCGAUCGGCAUGGGCUUUAAGAACAAUGACGGCGGCUUGUUAGAAUUCACUGGCUAUCCGGUCAUUGGAAACCAAAGCGACAUGCAAUCCGCUGGUAGGUUCUCAAAUUAUCCGAGGAAUGUCUGCAUGUAUGAAUGAUAACUCUUGACGAUAAUGCUUCAUCACAAUAAUGACACAUGUAAUGCCCGGAUUUAUUUAGUUUGAGUCAUCUUCUCUCCAGGUUCAUGCCUAAGGAGUGCAGAAGACAACCUUCUUACAGCCUGUGGCUGGGACCCUCGUUUUGCGGGGCUCUUCUACCACCAAACCACGAUAAGCAUCCCCUUCACCACCAUCGCUGGCUUCAUCGCCGACGUCAAGAAGCUCCGCGACGCCCAUCCCGACGCACUCUGCAGCACCGAGCUGUACUUGGGCUUCUUCAUGCGCUUCGUCCGCAACUCCACAGCUUAUCUUGGCAAAACCGACGACGUGGUGGACAUCGACAUCACAUACUAUCGUUCCAAGGAUCCAAAAAAGCCGCGACUCUACGAGGAUGUGCUCGAGGAGAUCGAACAGAUGGCCUUGUUCAAGUACAAUGCGCUGCCGCACUGGGGGAAGAAUAGAAAUGUCGGCUUCCUCAAUGUCAAGAACAAGCUGGGGGCUAAGUUGGACAAGUUUGUGAGUGUGAUGCAGAAGUAUGACAGCAAUGGAUUGUUCUCUUCAGACUGGACCGAUGCGGUACUGGGACUGCGAGGGAAGGAAGUUGUGGUGCAGGGUGAUGGUUGUGCACUGGAGGGGCUGUGCAUUUGCUCCACUGAUGACCACUGCGCUCCUAAACAAGGCUAUUAUUGUCGACCUGGAGAAGUCUACGAACAGGCUCGAGUGUGCAGGAAGAUUAAAUCCGUGGAAGCUGAUGGUUAGGUUUAUUUCUGUGUCGCUUCCUCUUCGAAUAAAGGAUGUAAUGUCAGUCAAUAAUUACUACAUAGUUUAUUAUUGUAAUAUUAAAGCAAGCGUCGAUAAAUGCAAUAUUGUAUGGGAGGCAGAUUGCAUUCCUCCUGAUUUAUCUGUGCAACUCCAAGAUGACUUAUGCAAGUCAUUCUAUAGAACUAUAAUGUGUUAAUAAAUUUCUUUUGGGCAAAAAAAUUAGGACAUAAUUUCUCAUUGUUUUUAAUUGCAAGAUCCCAUUGUGAAGGAAAGGAACACUCUCCAGUAUCCGUUGCAUGAAAGGGACGAGGAAGCAAGAAAUAACAGUGCCAUUAUUAAUGCCAUCGUGUGGAGAGACGUAGUAUGUUAACGCGAUAUUCUUCGCUAUCAUUCCUUAAAAUAAGAAUGAUGAUUAAUGAUAAUAACCUGCGACUCACGUAAACGUUCUGAUUAAUUUUACAUUAAUCACACUUGAACCACGUUUCGUGACACAAAUGACAUGGUAGUUCACACCGGUUGCAUUUCAAAUUUUUGACUCAAAGCUCGUCCUAUGGAUCGCGAGAAUAAACCAUAUGGUAAGAAGCUACGUAAAUAUGGAAAUCACAAAGAAUGGUGAUUACUGUAAUUAAGCCUUCCUCGAUCCCCCCCAACCCCAAGAAACUACUGCUCUCUCUAAAUAACUCUACGGCGCAGCAUCCAAUCUCCUUUUUGUUCCUUUCUCAUCCUCGUAAUAUAAUUUAGAGAUAGGAAGUGGUCGCGCCAUGAGCAAGGGAAACAGCAGCGAGAGCAAGCUGAGCCAGUGCAUCAAGGCCCCCGACCUGGCUCUGCGACAUACCCGGGACUUGUGCGAGAGCAGCAUGGCCGGGACUGAUAAUAUAUGUAUACACGAUAAUCUCAUGUAAGCUCGUUCAUCUACACCAAAUACUAGUUUUAGAUCGGGCAUGACAUCCUGAAGGAAUGAUUGUUUAAUUGACGACAGUGUUUAUUUACGUGUGGAUUUGACGUGCUUGUUUCCAUCUUUAAAAAGGAAAAUUCAAAUUCUUUUAAAAAAAAACUGUCAACUUAAUUUUUCAAAUAGCUCUUCAAAAAAUUCUCAUUGAGUAUUUUUUUUUUUCAAAAAGACUAUUCUAUAUCAAUCGGUCAUCGCCUCCGCCUCGUAUCACUUCUGAACACGUAUCAGAGUAUUUUUUUCAAAAAGUUUCUUCUAAGCGUGAGACAAUGUAUCACUUCUGAACACGUAUCAGAGUAAAUCCAGGCCAUUGCAGUUUGCAACUUCUUCUUUCUUUUCCUGAUCCAAUUCUUACAGUUGUUGGUGAUCAUCCGCAAUUUCUUCCCAGUAUAUGUUCCCCUUGUAGCUCAAGCAAUAUCCGAAGGUAACUUUAGCUAUAAAUUUCGUUUGGUUUGGAAGUUCAAGAAAAAAUAGUCACUCUUAUGUCCAAAGUUAUUGACAGAAAUGAGGUGGUCUCAUUAACUAUGCUUUGAUACUAUGGACUACGGUCAAGAAUUUGAAGCUGUCUGGCAACAUUUACAAGUGAGAAUGGAACGGAUAAAUGAAAUCAAAAGUACCCAUUUGGACUGCACAAGAAAAACCUUUAUGACUGACGUUUUGAACUGUUCAUAUGAGGUAGUCACUGUUAACUCACAUCCACGUUCAAGAAAAGGAUGUGCUACAGUCUCCUAGCGGUGGCAAUUCCAUGAUUGUCCACCGAGGAUGCUUAUUAUUCUUAUUCGCAAGCAGUUCGUCUGAGAAAUUAACUCAGAAGCCUCGUAUUGUGCUUCUGCUCAACCAAAGAAAGAGAUCAGAAGUGGAGAUAGAAGAUCCAUGGAGCAGGACGAUCCCAAUUACCUCUUCCAGGCCUAAAUUGUAGAGUAAGUUGAUCUCUGUCAUAACCAAGUCUUGGCAGCGAUCUCCAAAGAGUUCCAUGCAUCUCGGCCAUGUAGUCGGCAACGAAGCGACGUGAUGGCAUUGAAUUCAGUGUACUCUCUGUGCAGUCACCUUACUCGGCAUCCAUGCAACCGUUCUUCCUUUAUUUUCAAAGAUAAUGAUUACUGAUUUCUUCGAGGGGAAGUGCUUCUAAAUGUGCUCGUGCAAUUGAUUCUCUUCUCAAUCGAUCUUGAUGUGCCAUGCGAUCAAACUCACAUUACGGUGUUCGUGAACAGACGUUGAAGAUCAUGGAAGGAGUAUUUUGUUUGCUGUGAUUGUGUGGAGAGAAACACACGAGGCAAGGGAAGUCCCUGUGUAGUCGGAGAAGGCAACGGAUGGCUUGGCUUUUUCUUCCCUGUAAAGGUGGAAGACGAGAUGGCCAGAUGAUCUAAUAUUAUAUUGCAGUGUUGCGUCUGUCCGUGGUUGUAGGAGUGUCCUACAAAAACAAUAACAGCUUGUUACUAAGACAUGUUCUAUAAACAAUCAAAACAAUUAAAUAUUACACGCAUUAUAUUAAGACCAGCAGAAAAUGUCUUACGUGAUUAAGUAAUUUAGUAUCUGAUAUGGGACUGACAUAUAAAUCAAAUUCUUUUAAAGUAGAAGAAUCUGAAAUAUUUUUUCUUUGUUUUUCUCAAAUAACCUAUUCAAUCUUAUUUCAUAUGCGAACCCAUUAGUUCAUCAAAUAAAAAUAUAGAUAAAUCUUUUGACUCUUAUAACAAUAUGAUCAAAUUUCGGAGUUAAACUUUUCAAAACUUUUAUAACAAUUAUAUGAUAAGGAAGAUGUACACCAUAAAAUUUUAUUUAACUAACAAUAUCAAUCACUUGUGAAAGAAAAUCUUACAUCGAUUCAUUAUUUUUCAUGAAUAAAUUUUAAAUUCACCACGAAGGGUUUAAAGUUUUACUGUAAUCACCCUUGUUGAGCCUUGAAAUUCAUUUUGAAGUAUCAAUCAAACUUGCUUUAAGGUUAUUGCUAUUGUAAUUCUUGAGAAAAUUAUUUCAUGUAUAGCUUGUUGAAUGAACAACAAUGCCUUUGAGUUCUUAUUUCUAUUCUUCCUCAGCCUGAUUUUUUUAUGUAGACCUACAUAUCCAUUCUCUAUUAAGUCCCAAAGAUCUUGAGACUUGAAUAAAAUAUUUAUCUUGAUACUCUAAAAUUCAUAGCAUUUGUCCGAGAAGAUGGAAAUAAGGGGUUGAGACAUAAAAUUAUUAUUAAAAGUCAUAAUACCCAAUUCGGAUUGAAAACUUAGCUAUGAUACCAUAAAUGUUGAGGAUGAAGGAAUAAGGAAAUGAUAAAAACAGAAUACUAUGAUAUAAUUAAAAAAAAUAUUUUGAUCAAGAAAAUCGUUGUAGUAUUUAAAUAAGAUAUAAGAUAUGAACACUUACAAGAUAUUCUCAAGUGCACACUCUUUAUCUUAUUUCAUGAAUUAAGGUCUUAUUUAUAGGACAUAGUGGUAACUACCUCACUCCAUCAUGUCACCCGUGAUUGAAUUAGGUGUAGAAACUACCUUAUAAUUUUUAGAUCAUGGGUCAUUAUUUAAAAUAUGUCCACAACUAUUUAAAACAUGAUAACUAUCUAGAUAACUACUAUGAAUCAUUAAUUUUACGUUACUGUUUUCUUCGAGCGGAAGUGCUUCUAAAUGUGCUCGUGCAAUUGAUUAUCUUCUCAAUCGAUCUUGGUGUGCCAUUCGAUCAAACUCACGGUAUGGUGUUCGUGAACAAACGUUGAAGAUCAUGGAAGGAGUUUUUUUUUUGCUUGCUUGACGUAAUUGUGUGGAGAGAAACACACGAGGCAAGGGAAGUCCCUGUGUGGCCGGAGAAGGCAACGGAAGAUCAAGUGCAAGACAACCGAUGGCUUGGCUUUUUCUUCCCUGUAAAGGUGGAAGACGAGAUGGAUAGAUGAUCUAAUAUUAUAUUGCAUUGUUGAGGGUAUCCAAUCAUUGUACAUCUGUCCGUAGCCGUAGGAGUGUCCUAAAAAAGCAAUAACAGCUUGUUACUAAGACAUGUUUUAUAAACAAUCAAAACAAUUAAAUAUUACACGCAUUAUAUUAAGGCCGGCAGAAAAUGACUACUACUUUUCGAUACUCUCUUGUGUUGUGCUUACGUGAUUAUAGUAUGAUAUGAGACUGACAUAUGACCAACACUUCAGUAACGUACGACCUACACCUCAACCGGAGGAUCUCAUCCAAGCAAUGCAUAGUAGGCACUUUGACACUCAACGGUAGGAAUCUAAAGCUCUUCAACCCCUAAUGUAUGGAAUUUGAGGUGACUUCGUAAUUUUCUUUUACAAAUUUUAAUAAAUAUAUAUUUCUCUCUAAAUAUUAUUAUCAUUCAAAUAAAUCCUUCACAUUAACGUUCUUUAAAAAGAAACCAAGAUAACCACAAUAAUCAUGGUUUUCUUCAAUUGACCAUUUGACUUCAAACCAAUUUUUAACAUAAAAUAUUUUAUAUAUCUUACUAUCUUAAUAAGGCUUGUAAAAUGUAUCAAUGUCGCUCUAAUGGUGAAAUAACAGACAUGGAGAAUAAUUUUACAGUCUCCAUAUAUAAAUAAAAAAAUCACUCUAUGUAUAAGAACACACAAAGGUAUAAUUACACUAAAAACAAUACAAUUAUCGAUGCCCCUCGCAAAAAUAUUUUAUAUCGGUUGUAUUUAAUCGGCUCACGUCGAUCAAGGUUUGUGUUUUGUCGUUAAAUCAAUCAAGUUGUCCAUUUGAUAUCAUUCAUUUACGUGCAUUUGUCCAUCAAAUAAUAAUAGUUGGACCAUGAGUUGGCUAUCUUAUCUUCCUGCCCAUCAAAACCCUUCCAUGAUGUGGCAUCGAAUAAACUUACGAUUAAAACAUGAUGAAUCAACCCUUACAAUUUAUAACAAAUAAUUGGACCGAUUCUUCCAAAUUUUAUAGUCCCAUCGUGAGGGAUGCAUGACCAAACAACCUCGCCCACAGCAUUUGACGCAGCCAUCACUAACCUUAUCGCUUUUAAAUGCAUAGUAUGGUAAAAAUAAUGAUAAUAAACUCGCGUCACAAGUUGAUAUUUUUAUUGGUUUUAGUCAAUUUCCACUUGAAGCACGUGAAUGACGUAAAUGACAUUACAGUUCGCAUUGCGUACGCAUCUAACUCUUUUGACUGGAAGCUCCUCCAAUUGCAUGUCCAUGAAUCAGAUAUGGAUGAUAUGGUACCACUUUUCCAUUGUCUUCCCACGCACAUCAUCCACGGUUUCCACACAGACUAGUAGAAGUAAAAUUGCCAACUCAUCUACCUCCAUCUAUCAAUAUAUUAUAUAAUCUCGUUCUUGCAUCGCGUGUUCUGCGACCAUCAACCGGAGACAUUAACAAUUAUGAGCCAUUCCAACACGUCUAAGUACACGUCAGAUUCAUCGGGAUGGCAUAAUCUCUUGAUAAGUCAAUGGGCUUUACCUCCCUUAUUUUAUCUGAAUUUUUUUCUGACUGUGUAAACAAAUUCACCUAUAUAUACAGACAUGCCCGGAUCAACUCUGGACAACCAUCAUGGCCGCCACCCACAUUGCCCUGUUCGUUUCCGGCCUUGCCGUCUUGCUUCUCCUCGUCCAAGGAUCGCCGCCAGGGCCUGUUGUCCAGUGCCGGUCUGGCAACACUAACUGCACCGUGACCAACGGCUAUGGAGCCUUUCCUGAUCGCAGUACCUGCCGCGUCGCCGCGGUCGCGUACCCUUCGAACGAACAGGAGCUCCUGUUAGCUGUCUCCGACGCCACCGUGAAGCAGCAGCACGUGAAGGCGGUCACGGUGUACUCACACAGCAUCCCCAAGCUGUCGUGCCCCGGCGGGCCGAGCGGCCAGGGCCUGGUAAUCAGUACCCAGCGCCUCAACAGAUCGGUGAGCGUGGACUUGGCCACCUCGCGGAUGACGUUCGAGGCAGGGAUCACACUUAGGGCGCUCCUUGACGCGGCGGCCGCCCGUGGCCUGGCGCUGCCCCACUCGCCGUAUUGGCAAGGGGUGACGCUGGGCGGGCUGCUGAGCACCGGCUCACACGGGAGCUCGGUGUUCGGGAAAGGCUCGGCGGUGCACGAAUAUGUGGUAGGGAUGAGGCUGGUGGUUCCAAGUCCGGUCCCGGUGAACGGAUCCUACGCCAAGAUCGUUAAUCUUGGUGAGGACGAUCCUGAUCUCUUGGCUGCCAAGGUUUCUCUCGGUGUUCUUGGAGUUAUUUCUCAGGUAUAUAUGCGGUGACCUACUUGUUAUUCUUUGUUCUUUACACGGUUUGAGAUCCAUGUGAUAACUCAUCUUAGUUCUUCACGGUGUUUCUUCCAACCACGUCGAGUACUUUCAUAAACUGAGUACAUGACUUGCUACGUCUCGAUGCUAAUUAGGUGCAACUCUAUAUUUAAUUGUUCAUUCUAUUGUUAGUAUCAAGACUUUGUUUGCACUACGUCAGCAAAAUGUCGAGACAAAAAAAAACUUGUUUUCAGUCAAAUCACUUUGCGAAGGAAGACUUGUUCUUUUCCUCCAAUAUAUAAAGUUAUGUAAAAUAAUUGGCAGUUGAUGAUCCCAAUGGACUUUAGUUUUAAUCUUCCCUUCUUUUCUUGCUUUGCUUGUAUUCCUUUUUUGAAAAUGGGCUAAUGCAAACGUUUGAAUCGUUCUAUUGAUUCCAUGUACCUUCCCUCCUAGUUUGUAGUAACUACAUAGCACAGUUGAGUGUUAUGGAACAUAUGAGCACAUUCAAACCCACAUGGACAAAGAUCAGAGAAAAAGCAAACUUAAAUGAGAGUGAAGGCAUGAUUUGAAGCCAUCAUUUUACAUCUAUGGUUGUUCCAUCUAGUUAUAUCUUAUAGAUGUAGAGUUUUUUUCUUGGAAGAACAGCUACAGUGACGUUGAUGAUGACUCGGGGUAAAUGAGAGUGCCCCUUCCUUCACAUAUGGAGCCUCGCGCAAGGCAAGAGGCAGGCAGGUCUACGCUGCCUUGCCUUGCAGAGCUUACGACCGGGCCCGCCAUUGCCUUAAAAGCCUCAGUAACAAUUAUUAGGUUGAAGGACGAUAGGGGAUGUCAGUAGUAGUAGUUCUUGUUUCAAUCUUGUUGCCUGAAUAGCUGAAAAGAGUUGGUUUGCAAUACAAGUAAGCUUUUGUUCUGCUGCUUCAUUAUAAGUAACCUAAGAAUUACUUGAACCGAUCGCGCAGGUCACCCUCCAACUUGAGCCGAUGUUCAAGCGAUCCAUCACCAACAGGGUCGUAAGCGACGUUGGCUUCGAGCAAACCAUCUCCUCGUACGCUGUCACUACUCACUAUGGAGACAUCAUCUGGUAUCCAUCACAAGGCAGAGUGGUGUAUCGAGAUGAUAUCAAGGUCCCCAUCACCACCAAAGGAAAGGGUGUAAACAACUUCUUAGGGUUCCGAGCGCAGCCCACCCUUGUCAUAGCCUCUACACGUGCUUCAGGUGUUAUAAAUUGCAGCUUUUAUUUUGCUUGACAAUCUUGAUGUAGUGUUCGAGUAGUAUCGUACUUGAUUUAUACUAACAAGGCAUCUCUUGUCCUCUACGAUGUGUUUGUGUUUAUGACUGCAGAGGAACUAUCGGAACUAACAGGAAAUGCCGAAGGCAAAUGCGUGCUGUCCAGAUUGCAAGCGGAUACUCUGAUUGCGACCGGCAUGGGCCUUAAGAACAAUGAUGGCGGCUUGUUAGAUUUCACCGGCUAUCCGGUCGUUGGAAACCAAAGCGACAUGCAAUCCGCUGGUAGGUCCUCAAAUUAUUCCAGGAAUGUAUAUAAUGACACAUGUAACACCUGAAUUAUUUAGUCUGAGUCAUCUUCUCUCCAGGUUCAUGCCUACGGAGUGCAGAAGACAAACUUCUCACGGCUUGUGGAUGGGACCCUCGUUUUGCGGGGCUCUUCUACCACCAAUCCGCGAUAAGCAUCCCCUUCACCACCAUCGCUGACUUCAUCGCCGACGUCAAGAAGCUCCGCGACGCCCACCCCAACGCACUCUGCGGCACCGAGCUGUACUUGGGCUUCUUCAUGCGCUUCGUCCGCAGCUCCACAGCCUAUCUUGGCAAAACCGACGACGUGGUGGACAUCGACAUCACUUACUAUCGUUCCAAGGAUCCAAAACGGCCGCGACUCUACGAGGAUGUGAUCGAAGAGAUCGAACAGUUGGCCUUGUUCAAGUACAAUGGGUUGCCCCACUGGGGGAAGAAUAGAAACGUCGGCUUCCUCAAUAUCAAGAACAAGUUGGGGGCCAAGCUGGACAAGUUUGUGAGUGCCAUGCAAAAAUAUGACAGCAAUGGAUUGUUCUCUUCAGAUUGGACCGAUGCGGUGCUGGGACUGCGUGGGAAGGAAGUUGUGGUGCAGGGAAAUGGUUGCGCAUUGGAGGGGUUGUGCAUUUGCUCCACUGAUGACCACUGUGCUCCUAAACAGGGCUAUUAUUGUCGACCUGGAGAAGUCUAUGAUCAGGCUCGAGUGUGCCGGAAGAUUAAAUCCGUUGAAGCUGAUGGUCAGGCAGACAGCUUGUGAUACCGUUCACAUUCAUUUGCUGUAAGGUUUGUAUCGGUGUCACUUCCUCUUUGAACAGACGAUGUAAUGCCAGUCAAUAAUUACUACAUAAUUUAAUAUUGUAAUUUUAAAGCAAUGAUCAAUAAAUGUAAUAUUGUAUGGGAGUCAGAUUACGUUCCUCCUGAUAUUAUUUAAGCAACACUUCCAUUAUUAAUGCUAUAAUGUCGAGAGACAGUACGUUAAUGCAAUCUUCGCUUCCAUUUCUUAAAUAAUAAUAAUAAUGAUAUUAUAUUUUAUCUAGAAAAAUUCUCACAAUUGAGCUUUUACAAAAUGAUGCCCUGUAAAUAAUUUUUAUGUGGGACAUCUUUCAUAUUAAAUUGAUGAAACUACCCUCUGUCCUCCACGAGUCCCCUCCGUCGCCCCUGCUCUCACCGCGAAUGGUGUCGUCCGUCCUCCCUUCCCCCACCUCCCUAGCCGCCCGCCCCUUCUCGCUGGUGGCCUGCCAUGGGCGACGAUCGCACGGGUGUCGCAGGUGAGGGUUGCGACGAAAGGGCCGCUUCGGAUGGCGAGUAGUGGCUGAAUCGAUGGCGUAGCGAUGGGAGAUGGCCUCGUGGGUGACGCACCACGGUACCUAGCGACGGGAUCCGCCCUCUCGUCCUCGCUAUUCGCGACGAGGUUGUCGCGUUUUCCCUCGACAUUCAUGACCACGAGUUGGUCACUCGCGACACAAAACGGAGAAUUGGCUGCGGAUAGCUGUUGCUGGCCGCGGCAAGGAUGAGAAAGACAGGCGACGAGGGAUUGAAGAUGGCGAUGAAGACGGGGAGUGGUGGACGGCGAGGCGAGCAAAGCCGCGGAUGCGAUCGGGGGAGGAGGAGGAGGAAGGGAGGGGAAGGGGAAGGUAGAUGGCGACGGAUGACGCUGCACGUGGUAGGAGCGAGCGUAGAACCGACGAUUGAUGAUUAGUGUAAUUACGCUACGAUGAUGAUGUAAUAAUAAUAUAACGAGAUUUAAAAUGGGCAUAUAUCGAUAAACAUUAAUUUUCUUUCUUUAUUUAGGUCACGUCCUAACUACAGGUGUAUUAAACUCGGUGCCUUCGCCACAGAGCUAACUGGUGGAGGGGCAGAAGGUAAUGGUGUAGUCUGCGGCGCCCGAGGCGCACGUGAACGUGCUCGUGGCGUCGUCGUAGGCGUAGCUGUACGCCGCCGGGCACGCCGCCUUGAAGAGCUGCGAGUAGCGCGUCGGCCCGCACGUCGUCGGGGAGCCGUGGGCUCCCGUGCAACAGUACUCUGGGGAUCCGAACGCCUCGCACGCGCUCCGGCACGCCAUCGUCUCCCCGGACUCCGACGCCACCCGCAGCUCCGCCGGGCACCGCGCGUUCACGUCCGCCACGCACCCCGCGUACCGGCAGCUGCCCCCCACGGCCGCCCCGGAGGGGCGCACCCCGAUGCCAACGUUGUAGCCGUCGACCAAGCUCACGUCGUAAAAGUCCUUGGCGCCGUCACCGCCGCCGAGGGUGAACUCGGCGAGACUUACCGGCGGGGCGCCACCGAUAGAGCAGCGGAGGGCCCCACCGCAGUCACCGGUGGCGCAGGACCCGUUGGCAGAGGAGGAGUCGAAUAGGCAGCUGGUACGGGCCCAGAAGCGGCCGGACCAGCCAGGUGGGCCGGAGAAGGAGCUGGUGGCGUUGGGUGGGAGCUCGAAGCUGCCAUUACCAAGGAGGACGGCGCCGUUGCCGGACAAUGCGCCGGGCCAUACGGUAUACGGACAAUUGUUCUCGAGGAUGAAGGCGGUGCCAGCACCCGCCGCCGCCGGUGCCCGUAACGCCCCUGCUUCAAUUUAACAGAUAAAAGAAGAAGUAGGCGCUUUGCGCGGAAAUGCUUAAACUUGUGGGUUAAUCAGGCGCUUACCUGAGAAGAGGAAUGUUCCGAGGCCGAGGAGGAACAAUUUCAGCAGGAAAGCCGCCAUGACGAGGCACAGCGAGUCGUGAGUCCGUUGCCGGUAGCUGAUUGCUCAGGUAAAUGUGGUUGGGAUGUAAGUGUGUCCUUCACGAAUCUCAAAGUAUGUUGUGAAGAUCCGCUAAAAGAUCUCCACACGUCGUGCAUGAUGUGACAAUUGGCACCCCACUCGGUGUUUUAUAGAGAGCUCCCUAUAAAAUUUCUUCUGGUGCAAAUUGGUAGAGUUUGUCACGAUUUGGGGUCUAUUGUCUCUUCUCAAUUUGAAAUUUGUCCAAUAUGUCUUGGACGAUCCGUGGAAGGUUUACCUGACAAGGAGAGUAUCCGAUUUGGAGUGACUUUUCUUGAGAUAUGAUAAGUUUAAGCCUCCAAGAAAGCAAGAUUGAGGUAUUUGUUCCCGAAUAUUUGAUCAUCCAACUAAACCUUAAUUGCCUUAUGAUAGAUCAUAUUCAUUGCUUCACGUUGAAUUAAAUGCCAAACUUACACAUCGCUCCAUUUGCUAUGCCCUUCUUGUGUGCAUUGGGAUAGUUCUCCUUUCUGGUCACCUAAUGUCUUCCUUCCUGGAUACUUAAGCUGUGUCUCAAGCAUCUCACGAGAAUGGAGGUUCACCGAGAUGCAUCCUUCGGAGGGGCGUUCGCAUACUAAGAACGGAUGAGCCUGACGUGGGGAGAUAGGCUUUACGUUGAGGUGCAUGGCUGUGGUAAUGGCUUUCUCGUUUGGGCGACACCUCUCCCUGCAGCGCGACCUGCGUGAAUUCUGCAGUUCAAGUCGGUGACGGUUGAGCUCCAUGCACGAGCACCACAAUGUACGUGUGCUCACCGUCAUGAAUCCUGCACCGUCCGUUUCAUGAAUCUUCGUGUCAUCCGUCGGAUCGGACGGCCAGCUGGUCUCCUCUGUCAGGUAAAAUAUGCGUCGGGGUUGUCUCUCCCAAAAGGAGCUGUUGGUCAUAUGUUUGCCUCACGUAAUGCCAUCACUUUAAGAACAUGAGAAGAAGGCAACCAAAGGAUAUUUCAAAAGGGAUGCUGAUCGAUCUUCGCUUUGUCUUCUGCUAAGCUGCCUUUGCCAAAGCAUGGUGAUGCAUUUCACCACCAACUGUCCACCUAAUAUUGGAGCAGAAUUUGGUGACUGCUCAACUAUUUUUUACUCCUCUUUCUCAUCGGACUCGUACGUUUGGUUGAAAAGUCAUCUUAGGGGGGUAUAAUGCUUGACGAGCUCUUGAGGUAUAAUCUUCGAGAAAACUAGUGUUCUAAAAAAUAUAUAUGUAUCAAAACAAAUUAUACCUUUUAGAAUUACCAAAUUCAGGUGUUUUGGACGAGCACAAUACGUCGACCUCAGAUUGACUUCAACUUACUAUUCAACAUGUACAAUCAAAUUUUUACUUAGCAAAUUAGUACGUUGACUUAUUCCAUGCAUUUGGUUCUGUCUGCGGCUUGGUUUUCGCCGCCACCUAAUGGACAGACACCAAAUAGUUCGUAGCUCAGCCAAGUCAUGUCUUUUGGAGAGAGAGAGAGAGAGAGAGAGAGAGAAUGUGGUCGUUGAGAAAAUCGAGUGCGAAGGGCAUAGAAGGCCAAUUAACAAGUCAAGCGGCCAAAUGCAUGUUGAGAACAAAAGUCAAACUUGGUUUCAGCAAAGGGUGGUCUGCGGCGGAUAUCACAAGAAAAAGAUGCAUAACGUCAAUUAAAAAUAAGUCUUUUAGCCAUUGAAGGUGCAAUUUGGAACAAAAGUAUUUAUUAAUUAUAGGAAAGAAGGCCGUCAUGAUAAAAAAGAUUUCAAAAAUCUCGCCAGUAUGUAUAUAUAUAAUAAUGACCUUAUGCAACAUCUCAUGUUUAAUAUUUAAUUUAAGAAUCUAAUUGUAAAUAUAAAUAUUACAGGAAUUAAAAUGUAACAAAGUCAAAAAGAAAAAAGGAAAAAAGAAAAUUUUCUUCCGCACCGCCUCUCCCUUCUCUUGAGAGGGGCUUCGGGUGAGAAAGGAGCAGAAGGAAGAUAGAAACAAUAAAGAAGAGAAGAAGAUGAAUAGAGGGUAAAAAAGAAAGGGAGAAGAGGCGGAGAAGAGAAGAAGAAGAAGGAAAAGAGAAAGGAAAGAAGAAGAAAAAGUAGAGGAUCGGUCGUGAGACCAGAGAGGAUAAAAAACAAAGAGAACAAAAAGAAUGGAAGAAGGAGAGGAAAAGAAGGAAAGGAGAAGGGAAAGAAGAGUAAAAAAAAGGGUUGGUGCAAGUGACAUGGACCAGAGGAAAGCAAAAAAAAAAAAUGGUGGAUUGGAUUUGAGAUCAGAUGAAUCUAAAAAUUAUAUGAGGUAUGGUUUUGAAUUCUCUUUAAUUCUUAUUAAUUAGAUUUAUAUUUUAGAUUAUAAAUUGAGAAAUUUUGUUAAUUGGACACCUAUACAUCGAAGAGCAUAAAAGAUAAAUAAUAAUAAUUUUAGAAGAAAAAAAAUCAGAAUAUAAGUUACGGAAGAUAUGCGAUCAAACUCUCUAAUCUGUUUUCAAAGAUAUUAAUGCGUGUGUUGUAUGAUUAAUAAAAUAUGGGUAUUAAUCUAAGAAAAAAAAAGGGUAGCAUUUCUAUUCAGUGGAGAUAUGUACAGAUGAACUGUAUUUAUAAUAUCCUUUUGGAACACCUACAAUCGCUCUCAUCUCCGUUGUGUCUUUUCUCAGUAGAUAAAGACAUGAGUGUCGAGUCAAUCUUUCCAACCCGUCGAUGUACAUCCGAUGAGAGCACGAAGCAGCUUCUCAGAGUUCCUCGCGCCCACAGACGAGCACAAACCUCCUGGUGGCCGCACACGGUAUUUGAGCCUGCUGUUUCCCCGGCGUGAGUGAAUUGAAUUGGGAGGAUUGCCUCUUCGCGUGCCUCAAAGGUCGUCAACGGUGCCUCAGCGUCAUGCUAUAUAUAACAAGCCCUCUCUUGGUCCCUGUACCAUCGACCACCAACAACGUCAGCGACUUGCGGUUCUCCAACGAGCGAAGCUAAUCGAGGAAAGCGAUCCAGAAUAGAAGAGAUGGCUCAUUCCGGUGCUGCCGAAGUCUUCACGGAAGAGCAGGAGGCGCUUGUGCUGAAAUCAUGGAACGUGAUGAAGAAGGACUCAGCCAACCUGGGGCUAAAGUUGUUCUUGAGGUACUACGACUAUUCCUCGCUCUGUGGCCAAUGGACCCCAACCGUGUUGCUGGUCAUUGAGCAUGUCUUAUUCUCAGGAUCUUCGAGAUUGCCCCGUCAGCAACUCGACUCUUCUCCUUCCUACGUGACUCCGAUGUGCCAUUGGACAAGAACCCAAAGCUCAAGCGCCACGCCAUGUCCGUCUUCGUCAUGGUACCUCUCAUCUUUCUUCCUUUAUGUACGCAUACAUUGUCAUGCAUCUGCAGAAAGCCGUUGCUCAAACUUUCGUAUUCUCCUCAGACAUGCGAAUCCGCGGUGCAACUGCGGAAAGCCGGGAAGGUCACGGUGAAGGAGACGACUCUUAAGAGGCUCGGUGCAAGCCAUUUCAAAUACGGUGUAGUAAAUGAACACUUUGAGGUAAUAGAUUCUGCUAGCAGUUUUUGUGAUCUCAGAUCAUUUGCUCAUAAAUUCAAUGACAUACAUUAAAGUUCAGCAAACAACAAGUCAAACAAGGUUCAGUGCAAACCGAUGACUGCAACUUUUGUUUAAUGCAUGGUGCAGGUUACGAGGUUUGCUUUGUUGGACACAAUAAAGGAGGCGGUGCCGGACAUGUGGUGCCCUGAGAUGAAGGCGGCAUGGGGAGAGGCUUAUAACAAGCUUGUUGCAGCUAUCAAGGAAGAAAUGAAGCCCAUUCCUUCCCCAUAGAAUUUAAUUCUCUCUCCUUGUUCUGUGGGCAAACCGGAAAUAAGAGGGCGUCAUGUGUGCUCGUACGUGUAGUUUAGUUUACCUUACAGUAUGUUCUGUGCCCAAUCUUUCUCCCAGUCAUCGGAUUGCGUCUGUAAACCAACGUACUUUUCUAGUAUACAUCUCAUUUCGAAUCAUAAAUUAUAGGACAGUUCUUUUUAUCCUCAUAAUGCCGCUAAAUUAAUUGAGGAAUACAUUACGAUGAGGGAGAGAGAUUCUCAAAUAUUAGAUUUUCAGGAAUGUUUUCAUCAUGAUUUUUUUUAUCAUAUAUCGUAAAAUUAAAUAUAAUUAAAAUAUUUUAAUUGUACGUAAGAAACUGAUCAGAAUAUGCACCGAUCUAAAGGAGGCAGAGGAGACAACUGCCUAUAUCAAUCUCAAUUACUUCAACUUCGGCCGAGGAAGAUCGCACUGUCGAGAAUUGGAUAAUAGAUCAGCCGGUAGAGAGGCGACCACAGUGGGUCCGCUGGCAGAGUAGCAGCGGCGAGGGUCCGCCGGCAAAAUAGCAACGGCGAUGGGCCGCUGGCUUGCGAGGAAGUUGACAGGCAGAUGGCAAACGGAGGGGCGACCACAGUUGGCGACCCCCGAGGACGAGGAGGCUGAGAGGAGGUGGCGGGUGCUCAGCCUGCUUCUGUGCAACAGCCGAGAGGAGGCGGCGGGCCUCCGGCUGUCUGAAAGCUGGAGGGCAGGAACUCCGCCGGAGCUCCGCUGGAGGAAGCGGAGGAAGGGACGCUGAGGGCAGCGUAGCAGUUCGGAGAGGACGCUGUUGUUGCCGCCAACGGCAGUGAGAGAUGAUUUUAUUCCGCUCGGAGCAGUGAUCGGCAAGGUGCGGCGGUUGGUGAGGAAGAAGAGGGAGAGCCUCGCCGGAGUUCCACGGACACUGCGCCUUGAUGCUAAACAACCGAGGUCAACACCGCUCGCCGAAGAGGAACUCGCAGCGGCAGAUCUAAGUCCCGGAUCGCCGGCCAACAGGGAAGGGGGGACUUUGCCGGUGAAGAGGAACUGCUUCGCCGACAUAGAGCACCUUCGCCAGUGAGGAAGAACGGGCGGGCACUUCGCCGAGACGAGGUUGCUCGGAGAAAACCGACAACGGCAGAUUAGCAGAGAUGAGGGACUGCCUUCGUCGGACGGCGACGAAGGGAAGCGGUUCUGAGAGCACUAUGUGAGAAGAAGGGGAGCGCUGUGUUGAUGGCUGCAGGAGGGAGCGGCGGUCGACGAGGCAGAGGUGCCAAGGCCUAAAGCGAAAAAAUGGGAGGAGCAGGUGCGGUGGGCGCCGAGGGCGAGGCGGCCAACGCGGCGCUCGGUGCAGAGAUGAGCGCUUGGGGCAGAGAGCAGUAUUCGAUGGAGUUGCAGCGUCGGAGAAGACGCCGACGUAGUAGGGAGGAGAAGGAGGCUGUUGAUAAGGGUAAAAAUGGCAACAUGACACGCCCUGAUGUCAGCCAUGCCUGGACAACACACUGCCCUAGGAAAUGGGCAUUAACGCCGACUUGAUAUGCGCCAGCGUCACCCGCUCCCAGUCAACGACUCCACCGUCUGACCCCGCGCGCUCAGUCGAGGCAGAGGAGGACGUCGACCGAGGCUCGCCCAUACCCUGCGGCAGUCGGUUCUCCAUGCAACCCCAGUGGCAAUGUCAGACGCCAUCGGAGGUACGGUCCUGCUCCUGCAGGCAGCCACAUCAGGUAACAUCAAACUCAUCUAUAAAUACCCCAGAGUUCUAGACGAACGAGGGAGAGGAGAAAACACAGACACAACACUUAUAUGGAGGUAUUUUCCUCCUCCUAAACCCCCUCCACA
This 28475-nucleotide long non-coding RNA is filed under the name Musa acuminata (dwarf banana). RNAcentral describes it as "long non-coding RNA (MACU_LNC000771)". Lineage: Eukaryota; Viridiplantae; Streptophyta; Magnoliopsida; Zingiberales; Musaceae. The record is from RNAcentral.